RNAcentral lists this ribosomal RNA (486 nucleotides) under uncultured bacterium. Its description in RNAcentral is "partial 16S ribosomal RNA". It matches the Rfam family "Bacterial small subunit ribosomal RNA", at positions 30 to 507 of the family's 1533-position model. The record is from RNAcentral.
AUUGAACGCUGGCGGCAUGCCUUACACAUGCAAGUCGAACGGCAGCACGGGUGCUUGCCCCUGGUGGCGAGUGGCGAACGGGUGAGUAAUACAUCGGCACAUGUCCUGUAGUGGGGGAUAGCCCGGCGAAAGCCGGAUUAAUACCGCAUACGAUCUACGGAUGAAAGCGGGGGACCUUCGGGCCUCGCGCUAUAGGGUUGGCCGAUGGCUGAUUAGCUAGUUGGUGGGGUAAAGGCCUACCAAGGCGACGAUCAGUAGCUGGUCUGAGAGGACGACCAGCCACACUGGGACUGAGACACGGCCCAGACUCCUACGGGAGGCAGCAGUGGGGAAUUUUGGACAAUGGGCGAAAGCCUGAUCCAGCAAUGCCGCGUGUGUGAAGAAGGCCUUCGGGUUGUAAAGCACUUUUGUCCGGAAAGAAAUCCUUGGCCCUAAUACGGUCGGGGGAUGACGGUACCGGAAGAAUAAGCACCGGCUAACUACGUG